CAUCGGUGACAGGUGGUGCAUGGUUGUCGUCAGCUCGUGUCGUGAGAUGUUGGGUUAAGUCCCGCAACGAGCGCAACCCCUAUUGUUAGUUGCCAUCAUUCAGUUGGGCACUCUAGCGAGACUGCCGGUAAUAAACCGGAGGAAGGUGGGGAUGACGUCAAAUCAUCAUGCCCCUUAUGACCUGGGCUACACACGUGCUACAAUGGUUGGUACAACGAGUUGCGAGUCGGUGACGGCGAGCUAAUCUCUUAAAGCCAAUCUCAGUUCGGAUUGUAGGCUGCAACUCGCCUACAUGAAGUCGGAAUCGCUAGUAAUCGCGGAUCAGCACGCCGCGGUGGAUACGUUCCCGGGCCUU
RNAcentral lists this ribosomal RNA (355 nucleotides) under uncultured Streptococcus sp. Its description in RNAcentral is "bacterial SSU rRNA". It matches the Rfam family "Bacterial small subunit ribosomal RNA", at positions 1026 to 1382 of the family's 1533-position model. Lineage: Bacteria; Bacillati; Bacillota; Bacilli; Lactobacillales; Streptococcaceae. The record is from RNAcentral.